UACGAGGGGAGCAAGCGUUGUUCGGAUUUACUGGGCGUAAAGGGCGCGUAGGCGGCGUGACAAGUCACUUGUGAAAUCUCCGGGCUUAACUCGGAACGGUCAAGUGAUACUGUCGUGCUAGAGUACAGAAGGGGCAACUGGAAUUCUCGGUGUAGCGGUGAAAUUCGUAGAUAUUGGGAAGAACACCGGUGGCGAAGGCGGCGACCUGGUCCAUUACUGACGCUGAGGCGCGACAGCGUGGGGAGCAAACAGG
Molecule: ribosomal RNA, 253 nt
Filed under: uncultured bacterium
Lineage: Bacteria
Description: partial 16S ribosomal RNA
Rfam family: Bacterial small subunit ribosomal RNA
Source: RNAcentral